GCGCGUAGGCGGUCUGUUAAGUGUAGAGUGAAAUCUCCAGGGCUCAACCCGGAAACUGCUCUGCAUACUGGCAGACUUGAGGAUUGCAGAGGUUUGUGGAAUUCCCGGUGUAGCGGUGAAAUGCGUUGAUAUCGGGAGGAACACCCAUGGCGAAGGCAGCAAACUGGGCAAUAUCUGACGCUGAGGCGCGAAAGCGUGGGUAGCAAACAGGAUUAGAUACCCUGGUAGUCCACGCCCUAAACGAUGGAUACUAGGCGUAAGAGGUAUCGACCCCUCUUGUGCCGCAGCUAACGCACUAAGUAUCCCGCCUGGGGACUACGGCCGCAAGGUUGAAACUCAAAUGAAUUGACGGGGACCCGCACAAGCGGUGGAGCAUGUGGAUUAAUUCGAUAUUAACCGAAGAACCUUACCCAGACUUGACAUCGAUCGCAAGCCUUAGAAAUAGGGCCCUCUCUCACAAGGAGACGUGAAGACACUUGUUGCAUGGCUGUCGUCAGCUCGUGCCGUGAGGUGUACGGUUAAGUCCGCCAACGAGCGCAACCCUCGUCCUGUGUU
RNAcentral lists this ribosomal RNA (555 nucleotides) under uncultured bacterium. RNAcentral describes it as "bacterial SSU rRNA". It matches the Rfam family "Bacterial small subunit ribosomal RNA", at positions 567 to 1116 of the family's 1533-position model. The record is from RNAcentral.